Molecule: ribosomal RNA, 925 nt
Filed under: Keissleriella tamaricicola
Lineage: Eukaryota; Fungi; Ascomycota; Dothideomycetes; Pleosporales; Lentitheciaceae
Description: eukaryotic LSU rRNA
Rfam family: Eukaryotic large subunit ribosomal RNA
Source: RNAcentral
AGCAUAUCAAUAAGCGGAGGAAAAGAAACCAACAGGGAUUGCCCUAGUAACGGCGAGUGAAGCGGCAACAGCUCAAAUUUGAAAUCUGGCCUCCUUUGGGGGUCCGAGUUGUAAUUUGCAGAGGGUGCUUUGGCGUCGGCAGCGGUCUAAGUUCCUUGGAACAGGACAUCACAGAGGGUGAGAAUCCCGUACGUGGUCGCCUGCCUUCGCCGUGUAAAGCCCCUUCGACGAGUCGAGUUGUUUGGGAAUGCAGCUCUAAAUGGGAGGUAAAUUUCUUCUAAAGCUAAAUACCGGCCAGAGACCGAUAGCGCACAAGUAGAGUGAUCGAAAGAUGAAAAGCACUUUGGAAAGAGAGUCAAACAGCACGUGAAAUUGUUGAAAGGGAAGCGCUUGCAGCCAGACUUGCUCGUAGUUGCUCAUCCGGGUCCGCCCGGAGCACUCUUCUGCGAGCAGGCCAGCAUCAGUUUGGGCGACCGGAUAAAGGCCUCUGUCAUGUAUCUUCCUUCGGGAUGACCUUAUAGGGGAGGCGUAAUGCGGCCAGCCCGGACUGAGGUCCGCGCAUCUGCUAGGAUGCUGGCGUAAUGGCUGUAAGCGGCCCGUCUUGAAACACGGACCAAGGAGUCUAACAUCUAUGCGAGUGUUUGGGUGUCAAGCCCGGGCGCGUAAUGAAAGUGAACGGAGGUGGGAACCCUCUCCGGGGGGUGCACCAUCGACCGAUCCUGAUGUCUUCGGAUGGAUUUGAGUAAGAGCAUAGCUGUUGGGACCCGAAAGAUGGUGAACUAUGCUUGAAUAGGGUGAAGCCAGAGGAAACUCUGGUGGAGGCUCGCAGCGGUUCUGACGUGCAAAUCGAUCGUCAAAUUUGGGCAUAGGGGCGAAAGACUAAUCGAACUAUCUAGUAGCUGGUUCCUGCCGAAGUUCCCCCCUC